UUUCCGUUGCCGUUAUCAAAUUGUUAUAUUAUUCUGUGUCUACUGUUUACGGAAUUAUUUAGCGAUUACGGAAUUUGCAACCGCUGCCAACAGAAAGUUGUAUCUUACUUUGUAGACAAUAUGGUGGUAAAUAUCCUUGUGAACAUCCAUGAUAACAGAUGCCAGUAUAUUGGUCACAUUUAUUGUUAUGACAAUUUGAUGAACAUGUUUGCUUACAAUCCGCACCAUAUGUACCGGGCUUACAAUCUUUAUGGAAAAAUUGUUUAAACCUUUGUUACACAAUGGACCAGUGAGGCCUACUGGACAUGUACAGCCAUAAUAUUUCGUGCACAUCAACAAUCCGCGACACAUUUCAUUGGCAUGCAUUGAACAAGC
Long non-coding RNA from Acyrthosiphon pisum (pea aphid), 375 nucleotides. RefSeq lists it as uncharacterized. The transcript has 3 exons. The record is from RefSeq and is a predicted model, not a curated record. Lineage: Eukaryota; Metazoa; Arthropoda; Insecta; Hemiptera; Aphididae.